AUUAAAUUUAUGAUAAACAUAUUUAAUAUUUUAUGCUUGUUGAUUGUUGAUGUUGUAUGUUGAAAAACAGAAAGAAGUCAAAGGAUUCAGAGUUACAAGAGUGAAAGUCAAUAAGUCAUUAUCAAUUAAUUUACAAUUACCAAAUGUAUUAAAGAAAUUCAUUAAAUAUUGUCUCUUUCUAAGAUAAACUGCUUGUGCUUGUGCAUUAUCAAUUUUUGAAAAUGGUAAACUUCUUAACUAAUUAGUGUGGUCUAUAGUAUAUAAUAAAAAUGCCUAUUGAAUUAGUCUUUCUAUUUAAAAAAAAAACAAACCUCAAAACCACUUGUGACCUCUUGCUCUAUAUUUUACGGUAGUGUGAAUACCUUUUUGUUAUUGGUUUUAUACCAUAAUAUAAUGCAUGAUAAAUAUAAAUUGUGCUGUAUGCAUGUCACUAAUGUAUAGAUGAUUUUCUUUAAAUGUUGUAUAAACUUUAUUCAGGUAUUUAUGCCACUGCAUUCAUUUACCUAUAUACAAAUUUAGAAGAAAAAAAAGUUUUAUAAUAAAGAACAAAAUUAAUUAAACAUGUUUUGAUUGAUUUGAUUUUAUCCAAUAUGCAUAUCAAAAUGAAACCUGUUCCAAUAAUAGAUAUGGCGUUUAAAUGUAACUUGCAUCAUAUAGAAAAUAAAACAACAAAUGAUAGAAAGCGAAAUAGAAAAUUGUUUCAACACGGUUUUACUGUCAUAUUCAAAGUCACAUGUCCUGUUUACAGAAGGAAUU
This 756-nucleotide long non-coding RNA is filed under the name Mytilus galloprovincialis (Mediterranean mussel). The record is from RNAcentral. Lineage: Eukaryota; Metazoa; Mollusca; Bivalvia; Mytilida; Mytilidae.